AUUUAUCUAGUAUAGAUGUAUAGUUGACUUCCAAUCAAAAGGACUGAAUAUUAUUCAGGAUAAAUA
This 66-nucleotide transfer RNA is filed under the name Zwicknia bifrons. RNAcentral's name for it is "tRNA-Gly". The record is from RNAcentral. Lineage: Eukaryota; Metazoa; Arthropoda; Insecta; Plecoptera; Capniidae.